This 485-nucleotide non-coding RNA is filed under the name Mus musculus (house mouse). Lineage: Eukaryota; Metazoa; Chordata; Mammalia; Rodentia; Muridae. The record is from RNAcentral.
GAGGACCGUAUUCAUGGAAGAGGAUUGAACAGUAAAGAACCCAGCAAUUGGUAAAGAUGAGAAUAUAUCGCCUCAAGUAAAAGGAGAUGAAGACAUGGGAGAUGAAAUUGACAGUAUGUUGGCUACAUCUGGAGGUCUUUUCUCCUGAGAACACGGGACUCCAGCAUCUUCGGAUUCUGCUCUUGGAGGUGUGAGUCCCUGCCUCUCUGCACAGGGGAACUUAUGUCUCUCCACAUGUCCGCAAAUGUCUACCCAAGAUUAUACAUCUUCCAAAGGCUUUCAAAUACUUCUUUACAUAAACAAGAUGUGUGCAGCUGAACAGAGCGUUGAGGAAACGUCAGUGAUUUUAUAACUACUUAUCAUGUUGGGAGAUUGUUGUGAUGAUUGCCUGGACUCUCAGAUGUUACACAGGCUGCAUCAUUGGACUGAAAGUGAAUGGCCCAUGUGUUGCCACUGAUGUGAGCCAUUUGCCUGUUGUGCUUCAA